RNAcentral lists this ribosomal RNA (420 nucleotides) under Burkholderia sp. L8. RNAcentral's name for it is "partial 16S ribosomal RNA". It matches the Rfam family "Bacterial small subunit ribosomal RNA", at positions 1059 to 1485 of the family's 1533-position model. Lineage: Bacteria; Pseudomonadati; Pseudomonadota; Betaproteobacteria; Burkholderiales; Burkholderiaceae. The record is from RNAcentral.
CKCGUGUCCSGAGAAGUUGGGUUAAGAWCRRCCCCGAGGKCMACCCCURYCCYUARUUKCUACGCAAGAGCACUCUAAGGAGACUGCCGGUGACAAACCGGAGGAAGGUGGGGAUGACGUCAAGUYCUCAUGGCCCUUAUGGGUAGGGCWUCMCMCGUCAUACUAUGUUCGGAGCAGAGGGUUGCCAAGCCGCGAGGGGGAGCUAAUCCCAGAAAACCGAUCGUAGUCCGGAUUGCACUCUGCAACUCGAGUGCAUGAAGCUGGAAUCGCUAGUAAUCGCGGAUCAGCAUGCCGCGGUGAAUACGUUCCCGGSUCUYGUCCACGCCGCUCUUCACACCAUGGGAGUGGCUUUUACCAGAAGUAACUAGUCUAUCCGCAAGGAGGACUCUCACCACGGUCGGAUUCRCGACUGGGGUGAAG